AUUCACGCCUCUCUCCUCUCUUCUGCUUCUCUUCUUCGCUAGUAAAUCCCAAACUUCUUAACUAACAUUCACUGAGCUUAACCCAAUAAAAGAUGGGCUUCUCUUGUGCUUUUGAUGAUGAAAAGUUUUCAAAAAAACCCCAAUUAAAGGUUAGGGUUUUAGAUCUGUCUCUUAUAGUGCAUAUACCUGAGAGAGGUAGAAGCAGCUUCGAUUUCAAGGGCGAAGAUGUUUCCCAGAAUGUUCUUGAGGAAGCCGGAUAAGGCGGAGGCGUUGAAGCAGCCCAAGACCCAUGCGGCAAUGUUCGAAGUUUGGGUUGCCGUCAUUGGGGUCACACCUUACGUUCUCCAUUAUUUCUCAGAUAGCAAAGAAGAACUCAAGCUCGAACUCUAAUUUCCUUCACAGGUAAAAAAUUUAUAUGUUAACUAAACGGUGUUAUGGUUCAGUGGAACAUUUGCUUGCUGUAGUGGAAGGAAUGGAAGCUUCAAUGGAACAUUUGCUUGCUCUAAUAGAUGACUUUCACAAAUAUGUAGAUGAUGUGGUGGUGAGAUAAAUGUUUUUUUGCUCUUAAAUUAUGAGUUUGCUACCCUCUGCUAAUUUGUGGACUAAAUGUUUUUCCGUCCAGGAAGGGCGUAUUGCUCCAGAUAAUGACAUCGGCCAAUUUAUAUCAGAUACUGUCGCAUCUAUUCCGAAAUUAUCACCACACGAAUUUGAUAAACUAGUGAAUGAUAGUCUGUAGGUAUAUAUCUUUCUUUCCCUUGCCCUCAAAAGGUUAUCUUUUUGGGGCGGCAAGAGUUAUUUGUCAUUUUUUCAAUGUUCUAUUGUUUGGAUACGGAUCUUUAUUGAUUCAAUCUAUAUAAUUGAUUUGUCACCUUAAUAAUGUCGAUGUUGGAAAAAACUCAAAAAAGUUUAGAGACUUGACAAAGCACUUGAAAUAAGAAGUUGAGCUCCGUGCUACCAAAAUAAUUAACAAAAAUUAUCAGGUGUGUUAUUCUUAUGCUAAGCAAGUGCAGAAAUUAACACUGAUUAAAGUAAAGGUUCUUUCAUUGGUCUAUCAAAUGUACAAAAAUGGGGGAGAUUCAUAGUCCCUUUUUAGGGGCUUCUAUAAAUAUUAUUCAUUUUGUUGGCAUCAACUGGACUUGGCACUAACAGAAUAAGAGUGGCUUAUAAGAAUAACUAGGUCGAGUUCGGGAAAAGUAAGGUACAAAAAAGGGGGAGAUGUCAUCGUCCCUUCUUUGGGACUGCUAAAACUAUGAUGCAGAAUGUUGGGGACAUUUAGUUGAUACCAUUUUCUUAAAUAUGAUGUUGCAUGUUAUGAUAGAAGAUCUGGAUGGUCCGAAUCGAAUGAACUACCAAAUGUGAUUGAGGAUCAAUACAACAAAUAUUGCUGGAAGUUUAAAUGCAUUUAAUACUAAAGGAGGGAAUCAGUCUUAUAUUUUGUUUCCUGGAUACUUUUUCAUUCUCGAAUCAAGUUCUGUAAAUUAUAUGCAUAAAGUGUAAGAUGUUUGAAGAAAUUCUCCUUAUUAAUCUUUUGAUUAUUAUAUUUUGGAAAAUGGUUUCUUGUCUUAGAAGAAUGUGGUUGGAAUUUAGCUAUAAGACCGUUUAAUCAGAUUUCGCCUCUUUGCCAGGCAGUGCACAACUAUUGGUAACGUUAUGAUAUCAAAGGGGCCCUUAGUGCAUUGGAGAAAAUGGUUGAUCGUUGUGUAUGUGUUGUAUUUCUGUUUCUGUAUGUGGGGAAGAAAAAAUGGUUCUUUUUUCUCCUCUAUUUCGCAAGUAGCAGUACAAAUGUAAUUUAAAUAUCGCAUUUUCAAUGAAAAUGAACUCUCAUGUUCUUCAUAAUGUUUUUCGGAAUGCAGGUGCUUGCUGAUGUAAUGUGCCUUCUCGAGAAAAAACUGAUAUUGUCGCAUUAGAUAUUUGCACGUAUCUUUUGCCACUGUAUUGAUGGAUCCGGUUCAACUGCAGUAGCCGAGGGAUCAGGAUUGGCUGAAAGUGGAUUGCAAGUGCCUGGGAAGAGGG
Molecule: long non-coding RNA, 2013 nt
Filed under: Olea europaea subsp. europaea
Lineage: Eukaryota; Viridiplantae; Streptophyta; Magnoliopsida; Lamiales; Oleaceae
Source: RNAcentral